Long non-coding RNA from Triticum dicoccoides, 1111 nucleotides. RefSeq lists it as uncharacterized. The transcript has 3 exons. Lineage: Eukaryota; Viridiplantae; Streptophyta; Magnoliopsida; Poales; Poaceae. The record is from RefSeq and is a predicted model, not a curated record.
AAUUGUAACUCGCACAUGAGGAGCAGGCCGCAGACAGUAGCCAUAGGAACAGAGCACUGCAAGAAGACACGGCAAGCAAUGGGCAACGACGCCACCAGGAGGGCCGAGCCACACCAAGACCAGCAACACUUCUCCAAAACGCGACCAGAUCACCGUAGAGGGGACCACUAUCCCCUCUCGCCCAGGCCGAGGGCGUCGAUCCACCGGAGAAUCGGACCAUGCAGAGGAGGAAAUGAAGCAGCUUGAGGAGGACAUCGAUCCUCCAAGGCGGGGAGUCACCGCUGGACAAAGGAUCCGCCACUAACUAGGACACCAAAGGCUUGCCGCAGGCCACCCUCCAUCCCAUAACCCAAAACGACGCCUUCAAGAAGGAGGUGCAGGAGCACCGUCGCCGCCCAACCAAGGUUGUGGAUUUUCACCCGGGAGAGAGGAGGGAGGAGGGGAGGGAGAUGGACCUCAACGUCGCCUUCAGGAAGGGGAGCGGCGCCCGGAGCGCCGCCGACGAUGUGGCCGCCGCCGCCGGCCAAGAGGUUACCCCGAUCCAGGGCUUCCCACCCCACCACCACGACGUCGUCCACCGGAUCCGGCAAGACAUGGCGUAGGAGAGGCCGCAGCAGGAGCCAAAGGAGGCGUCUUCAGAUAUGGAGAGGCCGGACACGAGGACCCGACCACCAGCUGCUCAGAUCCACCGCCGGCCCGCCGCCCACACGGCCAGGCAGAGGCGGCCCACCAUGCCAAGGGACGCCGCCCGCCGUCGGGGAGCGCCGCCCGCACCACCAGGAGCCGCCGCCCUGAGCCCUAGCCCCCUGUGCAGUGGCAGAGCGGCAGAGAAGGAUGACUUCAGUUGAGGCUAUUUCUUCAUCACCUUCUUUCUUUGAUUCAUAUCUUUGUUUUUUUCAGUGUGUGACUGCAUGUGUAACUUCUCGCAGUUGCAUUCAGAGUUCAGAAGAUGGGUUCUGUGAGGUGCAAGUAGCAGCCUCGAAUAUGAAGAGUUGCAUUCAGACCAUGGGUUCUACGAGGCACAAGUAGCAUCGAUGAAUAUGAAGAGGGUCAACCAUGUAAUUCACUCUCAACCUGCGCUACAAAAUUAUUGGCAUAUGCAAUUGGUGGU